AUUAUAAAAAGGAGACCCGUGUACAGAUCGAUAUCGAUAUUUCUCGAAGAAAUAUCUCGAAAAUGCGUAAGCGUAAGACAGAAACCGAAGCGACAUCUGUCGAUUAUAUUAGUCGCACAUUGGGCUGGAACAAAUGAACCGGUAAAAACCAUCACAUUUGGCAAAGUGUUUGAGUGUUUUUAUCCUAUUAUAAAAAGGAGAUAAUUUAUAAUCGUGAAACAUCAUGACAUCUCCACCUAUUAAAUAUACGACCAACAGAGCCAUUGAUCAUUUCAAUGUUGCAGCUACACUCAUGAAAAUCAUCGGCUACGUCGACUGCAUUGAAGGCCUGAGAGAGUUGCCAAAGUCUCCAUCUAAGUGGAUUUACAAGUGCAUUUUAAAUAACAAUGAUGGCAGAAGGGUUCGCAUACUUUGCUCGGGGGAUGAUGCUCUCAAAUACAAGGAUGAGAUCAAGAUGUAUCAGAUAAUAAAAAUCACUGGAGGGAUUAUUAAAGCGGCCAAUCCACAGUAUCGGCGAUCAACGGACACUGUGAGCGACAAAGAAUUUCAAUUUGCACGUAGGAGCACUUUCGACAUCUUUGGCACAUUUAACAUUACGAAUGGAGCUGACAAUGGAAGGUCGAAGGUCAUCUCAUAUAAAAAAUUGAGAUGGAGAACGUUUGUGCUGCUCGCGGGCCAGUCCAGAUCACUGGAUGGCUCAAAGAGCCAUUCAGAAGCAUUACCACGUCCUGACUGAGGAUGUAGCCCUCAAUGAAGAUGAGUUGGAUGAUGCUGUCGAAGCACCUCCUCUCAUUCUCAAACGAGGGGCAGCUGAAUCUGCAUCUGGAGAGGCGAUGGACGUCGCGAAUAAGAAACUGAAAGCUGAAUAGCUUUAAUGACGGGCUAUUUACUCUGGAAGUUCAAUUGCAAAAUUGAAAAUUUUUUCUAUAACAAGUUCUAAACUGUUAUUUUUUCACACAAAAAUUGAGUUCUAUAACAAGUUUAACACUGUUAUUUUUUUACGCAAAAAUUGAAUUCUAUAACAAGUUUAAUACUGUUAUUUUUUUACACAAAAAUGAAACAUUGACAAGCUUGAGCUCUUUAAGAAUCUGAUUUUUUACUUUUAAAGACUGCCAACUUCAUAGCAGUAACGUUAAUACUCAUUUAGCUUUAACAACCAAAACAGAUGGAAUUAUAAUAAUCUAUUCAUGAACAUUAGUAUUUAUUCAGAAUUUAUUUCAAUAUAUGGCCCUGUUUUUGAAGAAAAAGUAUUACUAAACAUUUGUAUUUUUUAUAUAUAACAGAGAAAACUGAAGACUAAUUAAUUUUAUGAUUAAAGUAGAUAAAGCUCUCCGGAAUCACAGAUAAGUGAUACAAAGGAUGUAUUCAUGUUAAUGUUUGUUCAUAGUUCUUAACAUAUGUUGUAAUGUCAAUUAUAAUUGUUGGAACAUUAUUUUUGUUUUCAUUUCAAAAUCCGUCCCACUCCUGUAAAUGUUUAUUGAACGCAAGUGGCAUAGGUUUGGAGUUAAUGGUUUCAUUAAUAAAAAUUUAAAACGCGAUUUUUUUGCAGACAUUCAGUUUGAACCUUCCCUACGGUUGUAAGUCGCAGGUAUACACCUUAGUGCGGCAACAAUGUCUCCUGCACUACUACUCACGAAAAAAAAUUCGCAAGCAGCGAUGUUCUUGGUUAUGUGAAGGGAAUAAAUAAUCUCAAUCGCAUAAUUUGAUGUUCACAAAUAAUUAGAAAAUCUUUAAUUAUUAGAUUAGAUUAUUAUGAGACUAAGAACGCCCUCUUCCUGACUUGACUGAUUGCUGUCGCUAUUAUAGCUAAAUCUCGAAUUUGCGGAAAUGUUCUCGAUUCUGUAUACCGUAUGCUGCCUCGCACUGUAUAGUAUAUGCAAUCUUAGAGCAAUCGAAAUAUAUUAAGAUUUUCCCAAUUGUCUUUUUCCAUGAGUUUUAAUUUUAACUUCGAAGAUAGAAUAAGAGCAUUCAUUUUCUAGAGUUUUCAAUUCUUAUGAUUUGGAAAAGAUGGCGCGUGCGUAGCACGC
RNA transcript from Diachasmimorpha longicaudata, 2027 nucleotides. RefSeq lists it as uncharacterized. The record is from RefSeq and is a predicted model, not a curated record. The transcript is spliced from 5 exons. Lineage: Eukaryota; Metazoa; Arthropoda; Insecta; Hymenoptera; Braconidae.